GUUUAUAAAGUAAUGUUAAAUGGUCCUGAAAAGAUUAAAAACAGACUUUUAAUUCAUCAUUGCCAUUCUCCUAGCGCCAACAUUGUUGGAGGAUUCUUGGAACCACAUGGUGGACAGGAAACAACAGGCCAGCAACUCAGGCAGUAGGAUGGAAGUGUUCAACCUAAUUAUUCUACCUCAUCGACUGUCUGGCUGUGAAGUGCUAUCUUUGUAGAGCAACUGCACUACUGGCGAUUGCAGGCUGCGCAAAAUCACACAGCACAGGGCAACACUCCCGGAAAUGUUGUUUCUGGCAGUGUUAUCAAGUUUUGACAAAUCGCACACUGGAUUUGGUUUGAUCUGUGUUUGUGUAUCAACUGCACUGUAUGUGUUUUCAACACUAUUUGCAACAGCAGGAAAUGGUUUAGUCAGAUCAAACAGCUGUAGGCUACUUUGUGUUCCCCACCAGCUUUGUUAAAUGGCCGACAAAUUAGAGUGAAAUGUAACUACUGAACCUGAUAUUCAGCAG
Molecule: long non-coding RNA, 508 nt
Organism: Mugil cephalus (flathead mullet)
Lineage: Eukaryota; Metazoa; Chordata; Actinopteri; Mugiliformes; Mugilidae
Exons: 3
Source: RefSeq, a predicted model, not a curated record